Molecule: ribosomal RNA, 385 nt
Filed under: uncultured bacterium
Lineage: Bacteria
Description: bacterial SSU rRNA
Rfam family: Bacterial small subunit ribosomal RNA
Source: RNAcentral
GACGAACGCUGGCGGCGUGCUUAACACAUGCAAGUCGAACGGUAAGGCCCUUCGGGUACGACGAGUGGCGAACGGGUGGAGUAACACGUGGGUGAUCUGCCCUGCACUUCGGGAUAAGCCUGGGAAACUGGGUCUAAUACCGGAUAGGACUCCUGGCUUCAUGGUUGGGGGUGUAAAGCUUUUGCGGUGUGGGAUGGGCCCGCGGCCUAUCAGCUUGUUGGUGGGGUAAUGGCCUACCAAGGCGACGACGGGUAGCCGGCCUGAGAGGGUGACCGGCCACACUGGGACUGAGAUACGGCCCAGACUCCUACGGGAGGCAGCAGUGGGGAAUAUUGCACAAUGGGCGGCAAGACCUCGAUGCAGCGACGCCGCGUGAGGGAGUGAC